UGUCAGAGCUGCAGAGGAUCUGGGAUGGGGACCUGUGUAGCUCUAUGCUGCUUUGCACUGCACAAGUGAGGAGCAGAGCUGGCACCUCUCUCGGGCAGUGGGAAAUGUGCUGCAAAGUGAGGAUGGGGCACUGGGAGGCCAGACCCUGCCAUGGCAGAAGGAGACUUUGCAGAGCUCAGGCUGAUAAGAACUCUGCAACCAGGUUUCCAAGGGCCUGUGUGAAUUGCUGAGUGGUGAGGCUCAGAACUCCAGACACCAGACAAUGGAAAGGCUGGAAAGAUAAAGGAGAGGAAAUUCUUCUGCUGUAUUGCCUUUCCUAUGGCGAUAAGAUAACACACAGUGAAACAAGUGGUGGGCACCCCAGCUGCUCCCUGGAGUGGCAGCAAGAUGUCUGCUGGGGCCCCUGCAGUGCCUGGCGGGUGGUCCUGGGGCAGUGUGAGUGGGGUGAGUUUUGAGAAGAAGAUGUGAUGGGUUUGGUGGUGUUGGAGCACCAUUACUGUGCCUCAGAGCACAGAGACAGGCAGGUCUGACAUUGAUCUGGCUAGAGGCAUACUCAGAGGCAGCCCAGAUUAGCUGUGGAAAUCGCUGUAGGAUAUUUUGGGCGGCAGAGCUCAGAUGAAUGAUAUGGGGACAGCAAGAAGCUGGGGCUGCCUCCGCUGUCUCGGGAAGUCGCAGGGCUGUGCUGCAGGGAGCAGAAGGGUGGGUGAAAGGAGGUCACUGUGCUGCCGUCUCUGCUAUGUCCACGCAGCUCUGCUCUGGCCAUGACCUGGCCCAGGUUUGCCAGGACGAGGUGGACCCUGAUCUGCUCCAGUGACUUUUUUGUGUCUCACUAUUAUAAAUCAAAUUUUGGAUAGUGGCUGUGCCUGGUGAGGCAGGGCCAGGUCCUCUCGUGGAUGUUUCUGAGGAAGCUGUCAGCACUCUGACAACAAGUACUUGUUUUAGGUUGGAUAUUAGGAAAAAUUUCUUCUUGGAAAGACUGGUGGUGCACUGGCACAGGCUGCCCAGAGAGGUGGUGGGGUCACCAUCCAUGGAAGUGUCCAAGUACCAUGGACAUGUGGCACUGAGGGACAAGGGUUGAUGGUUGGACUUCAUCCUCGAGCUCUUUUCCAACCUUAAUGAUUCUGUACUUUGUGCACAGCUCCCUCAUCCUCACUUGAACUGGGGGCUGUGCAGGAACAUGCCCACGCAGUGGAGCAGCUUGCAGUGAAGGUAGGGGCACCGUAGUGAGCACCAUAGCCAGUGUGGUGGUGGGUGGUGAGUGCAGCACAGCGGGAGUAUGGGCACUGCCACAAUGAAGAAGGGCCAAAAGAAGGAAUUGAUUCAGAGACCAGAGGGAGCAGACCCAAGGCUGAGAAUGGCACUUAUCUCUUAGUGGGUGCUUCAUGCCUACAGGGACCUCAGUCCCUGGUGGAGAAGUCAUGCCUUUGAUGUGCUGUGAGGCUUCCUCAUGCUUCUCUGCAGCAUUGUGGGACAGGAUCUGAGCAGCCAUUGUGUGAGGCAAAACAAACCCUUCCUAUCGUGUCAAAGACUCAUGGGGUGGCCCUGCUUUCAGCUGCUGGCUGAAGCAUGAACGCAGCCCUGCCAGAGUCCACUGAUAAGAAUCUCCUUGCAAAAAGGUUCAAGUCCCCGCUCUGGCCGGUGAUGUCACCUUAUCAGCACUCAGAGCUGAUGGUAAAGGGAUCAAUCCAAGCCCAGCCGCCUCCCCACCACUGCGCCGGCUGCAAACACAAUGCGUGGGGCCCUGCGUGCUCCUUCCUAGCAGGAGGGUCGCACAGCCCAGGCCCCGCGCAGUGCUGGGAUGGGAACAAUAGUGGCCGUGGCAGUGCUGGCGGGUGGGCGACUCCUGAGAAUCAUGUGCUUACCCCAGCUGCAGCAGAGGCAAUUUGUCAAAGUCCUAUUUUCCUCUCACUGAUAAGAUAGGACUCAUGGAGUACAAUAAUGUCUUCCUGAGAUACAAUUGUGACUCUUCUACUCAGCGCACGCGGAGGGGAGGCUAAUUUUGGCCUCACUAGGCUAGCAGGGGUGAGGGAGACCAAGCAGCUCUCCAUGGAGACCAGGACAGGGUCAUGAUGCUACUGUGCCACUGCAAGUGAUGAGUGUAGGCCUUUGGCAAGCUCUGCCCCAGCAGCUUGGGGAACACUUUCCCCCCUGCCCUGUUCUAUUGCCCCAGCUGCCAAGGCACGGUUGCCUUGUCCUCACCGAGUGCAGCACCAGUCUGUGCCUUUUGGGAGACACCAACAUCCCCAGCCUCCCUGCUGGUGCUCCAGCACUGCAGCUGCACAAGAAGCCAAUGCAAGUAGCUCUGUGGUCAUGCAGAAGGUGAGGUGCUGCUUGGGGAUGCAGUGCUGCCCACUCCAUGUAUGUGCCCAGCACCUGCAGCUGUCUCUCACCUCAGUGCCGUCACAGCUGCAAGCAGUGCCAAGGAAAAAGCAGUAAAAGGCACAGUUGGCAAAAUCUCACCCUCCUGGGAUCUGGGCCUUUUAAGUAAGAAUGGAGAGAGUGCUGCAAGGAAUUGGAAUGGGAUAUUUGGUAGGGGCUGGAUCCUGCUUCCCUCACAGGGCAACGUGCAGCACUGCCUCCCAGCAGCACAGCCCUCUGGCAGAGCUGACGUUUCCAUUUUGGCAAACUGCUUGGGAUGCACUUUCUACACAGCUUGAAAUCUGAGCAUAAUGCUAUCUUCAUGAACCAUAUUCACCAGCCUGAUAAUGUGACCCAACAGAAGGUCAGUGGAAAAGUUAAUAUAACUUAUUGGCUGAUUUAAAAAAAUCUAAUCAUCUGUUUUUCCUUUUUCCUGACCCCUCCCCCCGCACCCAGCGCCCUGCUGACAUUUUCCACCUAUUCCCAAAACAAUGGUGAGGGUGGGAAUGCUGUGAGCAAGCAGAGCUGAGAAGAAGGUUUUUCCUGUGCGGCUGCUGCUGCAUCUUGCUGCUCUGGGAUGGUGCAGGAGGUGCUUGAGCCAAGGACACUGGCAUGACUAAAGGCUGACACCACCAUGGUUGCAAGGACAAAUUCUCUGGAAACAAGGCCCUUUGGGUGAGCUCUCCACCAGCCUUCUACAUCAGCAUUCCUUCCCCUCGGCAGGAAGAAAACCUGGAUCAGUGUGUAGGUGGGCGCACACCUUUGCACACGUAUGUGGUGGUGAGAAGCAUUCUCACGCAAGCUCUGCUCUUUCACAUUCCUACCUAGCCACUGUGAGCAUGCUUCCACUUGCUUGCCCAAAUGCAUGGGGUUGAAAGCCACAGGGAGCAGCUGCUUCACUGCUGUUCUCCAGCCACUUGUCUUCUCCUGCCCUGAGGCCUGUGCUGUCUGGACAGCCCUUGCAAUGUCUGGAGCAAUUAAGCAGCCAGAUGGUUGUCAGGGUAUGACCUAUCCUGAGGAUGCAGGUGAGUUUGCCUCAUCAGGGUGGGGCUGCAGAGAGUCAUUUCUUACGCUAAUACUUUACAGAUGCAAGAGGAAGGACCUCAGGGAGCAAAGGAUGACAGAAGGGAUCUGGGGGUUACUUAUUCAGCAAGAACUGUUGCUUGGAAGUGGACCUUUGGGGUUGCUGCUGAACCCUGGGAGGAAGAGCACCGGGGAGGCUGUCUUCUGGCAUAGGCUUAGGCAAGGAGAGAGUUUGGUAGGUUUCUGUUGGGCUGUAGUGAAUCCCUCUCACCUGAGUGCAUGGGAACGAAAGGGGUUGCCUGCCAGCCUGACUAGGAGGUGCUCCCCCAUCUUCUCAUAGAUAGGCAAAGCUAAGGCACGGGAGCAGAGCUGAAGCCAGAAGGUGGGCCUGAGCUCCCAGCUAACAGCUUGCCCUGGUGUUCUCCAAGCUUCUCUUCUUGUUGUGCUGUAACAGGGCUUAACUUAAGGUUGGAUGGAGAAUUUAGUCUGGGUAAAGCUGCAACAAAUCUUAGCUGGUGAGAUGAGCUUGUGUGCUUUUGUGGCUUCAGCUUAAUUACUGCCAAUGCAGGAACACUGCCUUCUUGCCAGAGGCUUGUUUUCAUCCCUUCUCAGACAUCACACAUUUACUGUUGGCAGAUCUGUGGAAACAUUGUGAGUAUCCCACAGGCAAGAAUUCCUCAUCCUGCAGCUGAGGGGCUGUGGCAUGGUGCCUUAAAUCCUCCUUCUGUCUUCAGAAGCAUGUCAGACACUUCUGGGUAUUGUGGGGACAAAGUCAAGCCGGUGUGGCUUGAGAGAGUUAUUUGUGCUGGAGAUGGGGCUGCGUCUUGCACUUCAGAGCACUGUGGCUGUGCCUUCUCCCUGUGUGAAGUCCACAUGCGUUAUGCAGUGCCUGGUGCUGGCUGUGCUGCAGCCCUGCUCACCGUGGCCAUUUUCCGUGAUAUUGCGGCUGGCCUUUGGAGCUGGGUGGGCCUUUGCAGCGAGGGUGUGUGCAAAGAAGGGCUGUGAGGCUGUCGGGUCCCACCCAGAAGAGGGUUCAGGCGGGAGUAGUAGGAGAUGAUGAAAACAUGCUGUAGGAAUGCUAUCAUAAGAACAGUGGGUUGCGCGGCCGGUGAGGGUGCUGUUCUGGAUCAUAGCUACAUGGUGUUAAAGGCCAGGCUGAAUGGGCCCUGGGCAGCCUGAGCUGGUGGGGGACAGCCGGCCCGCGGCAGCUGUUAGGACUGGAUGGGCUUUAAGGUCCCUUCCAACCCAAGCCAUGCAAUGAUUCUAUGCACUUGUCCAAGUCUCGUGGUCCCCUCUGGGCCAGAUCCUAUCAGAAGCAGACAGGUGUGUGCAGGCCCUCAGCUGGAUGCGGGGCAGCUGCAGUAGCUUCUGCACAACCCACGUAGAAGUAGGUGAACGCAAGUGCUGCAUGUGCUGCCUGAUCUUUCCUUAAAAAGGUCAUCAAAGCCAGGGUGCUGUUUUUAUUUUUCAGUUCAGCAGUGCAACUUUGCUAUGAUAAAUAUGUCUUGGAAACCAGGAAUGCGGACAACACUAGUUCAAAGACUUUUUUCCCAGUGUUGCAUAUUUAAAGCUGCUCAUCACAGAAGAGCCUUUGCUAGACUGAGCGUAACAAGGAUUGCAUUCUUGUUCCAUGCUGAAGAUAUGAAAGCAAGGCACUGAUCUUAGCAGAUCUUGAAGAAUGUGCCAGUGGUAUUUCAGUAAUCUAAUGCUCUGCAGCCUGUGAAGGCAGCACAGUAACUGAAAGGAAAUAUCUUUGUUUUUAUUCACUUGGCUUUAUUCCUAAUUCGUUCUUUGAUGCCAUCAGCUUGGGAUAAUACAUUUUCAGAUAUGCUUGAAAUUAAGGAAAUGAGUCUGAUUAUCAAAGUCCUUUAAACAUACUUUCAGGGAGAAAUGUUCAACAAUAGAGGUAUUAAAGGCCCCAUUUUCAAGCAAUUCUAAUAUAAAAUAAAAACAUUGUGCUGCUAGAUGGUGAGGUCCAUUAGCAGCGUGUGUGUGCAUCCUCCAACUUGAGAGGAUAUCUGCUUUUCCAGUUAUGAAAGCUGCUCGAUAAUUUGAAUCUUUCCUCUGUGGUGGCUGGGCAGAGGCAGACUUGUUUAACUGUUUCUUCACUUGCAGCCAAAUAAUAAAUGCAAGAAAACUUACUUCUUUAGGCAAAAGUGAUGUUUCUCAAUUCUUGUGUUUGAGAUUUGCCUGCAUUUCAUUUAUUUGUUUAUUAUGGUGUGUUGUUUAUUAUUAUUUAUUUGUUUAUUAUGGUAUGUCUGUGCUGGCUUGGGUUUUACUGGAAUACUUCUUAGAAAAGUCAGUUGCUCUACCAGUAUGUACCUGAGCAGUAGGCUGGAAGCAGGCACAGCCUCCUUGCUGCUUUGCUUGGCAGUCGUGGGGCUAGCUACAGGAAUGGGAAAGCAUGAUAUUUAUUCUAUCUACUGUAAAUGUGACUGUUUAAGAUCUUGCUCCAAUAAAUGGAGCAAUGAAUUCUCUUUCUACUGAGACUGCUGGUAAAGAGGUGACUUACUAGAUAUGCUGCUGUUGUAAUGAAAAUAUCUGGCAAAAUAAUUUAAAAUCAAGAAGAACUGAAUGUCUGGAAGAAGGAGAAAAGGGAUAGGGUGACACAAGUAAAGAAAGGCUUCAGCUGUGACAGUCUUGGGUACUGUGUACAAUCUGCUCUGUAAGCUGUUUCACAAGAUGCUCUGGCAGAGAAGUGAUAAUAAAUUGUUUAACGACUUGGACUUGCUAGUGUAGUUUAAGAAACUUUAAAAGGAGACAUUUAAAGGCUUGUGGCUGUGUAUGACUCAUCUAAAAGACUAAAACUGCAAUUGCAGAUUGCUCACCACCAUCUCACAGGGCACUCUGUACAUCUGGCUGUGCCCUCAGAAGCUUGGACACUUGGUUCAGGAGCCCCUGUUCCAUCCAGGUGCCAGGUAUGUGUGGGAGCACCCAGUGCAUGGCACCAGUGCCAGUGCUUGUGCCAGCCCUGCUGAUCCACUGCUGGCAGUGAGCCCCAGCCUGGAAGUAGCUGAGGUUAGGAAAAACAAAGGUAAAAAAAGUAGGAACAGACUCUCCUUGCCGAGAAAGUCAAACAAAUGGGGCUGGAUGUGUCCCCCAGGAGUCUCUGUGGUCAUCCAUGGGGAGGACUGGGUGGCACAGUGCUGGCAAAGGUGUGUUUCCAGCUUUGAGGGCCAGAUGUGGCCAGCUGUGUGCCUGUGCAUUACAGAGGUGGGUCUCUGAACCUACUCUGAGAUAAGGCUCCUAUUUAUACAGUCCUACCAGAAAAAGCAGGGUGGAACACACUAACAUAUUAAGGAGACCAAAUAAAUAAACAGUGGGUUUUGAUUUAUUUUCUCUGCUACUUGGAUAUCUUAGUUUUGGCACAAGAUGGAUUUUGUACACAAAUGUGAUCUCCUGUUAGGCUUUUGUGUUUGCUGAUUUAGAAAUCAUGUACAAAGGAGGAAAGCCUUACAAAUGUUCUAAAAGCAAAAAGAUUUUUGUUCUCUGUACUGCAGAAGUAUGUACAACCCUUGGUCCUGGCAGCUAGGUACUACGCAGCAGGUAACAGACCUCAGGAAUCUAUAGCUGAAGAUGAGAGAUAACAGUGGAAAGACAUAUAAAGUACAGUAGUCAGUUUGAGAAAUGGCACUCACUAAAUGCUACGUAGCUGAUUGGCAUCAUUCACAUCUGUGCCUCCCAAGGGGAAAGUGUAGGGUCACAAAGGAGUGCAAACCUGCUGUACUGGGAAAAGGCUGUGGAAGGGAGCACUCAGUGUCACAUGCAGAAACUGUUCUACUCAAAGGAAGUCAUAAAGGUGUCGGUAACACCCAGCUUUAUUGGGACCUGUACUCAGUUCAGAUCCACCAGAGUACAUUCAGAUGGAAUAUAUAUGGCUAUGAAAUCAAAGUAUUCCUGGGAAGCCCGUUAAGAAAGGCUGCUGGACUUGAUUUGAGCAUACAGUUAGAGCUACUUUGUCCUCCAGCCCCAAGCUGCUGGUGUGUUCCCACGAUUUUUAAUCACGCUGGCUGUAAAUGGCUGUAACAUCUCCAAAAGCAGUGACAGAGCUGGAGUGUGUGCCCUGGCUCGUUUCCUUGUUAACAAAUCUCACAAAGGAGAAUCAAAUGGAGGAAAAACUGCUAUUUCUAUUUAUUUAUUAUUUCUAACCAGGUUGAAGACCUGAUGCUUUAAAAGAACUGAACAGAGGGAUUUGUGAUAAGACAUGAUUCAUUACAUCUUGUGACCUGUCCCUUUCCUAGAAAAGGCAUAGCUAGCAAUGCUGUCGGAGUGCCAGGGCUGCCAGUCAUCUCCUGUGCUACAAACCAGAGCCGUGCCAAGAGAACUGGAAAGCAGCUGGAACAGCUUAAGGAGAUGGGUGGAGGGAACAUGCCAACCACAAAAUUAAUUUUUUGAAUUAAUAAAAGCUUGCGUGGUUUGAGGCUUGUGAAGCAAUAAACAUGUUCAAAUUUGCUGGAGACUGAAAAAGAAAAGCAAUUAGGUGCAAGGGAAAACUUUGAGGGUAGAUAAGGAUAAUAUGCUGGAAUAUGCAAUGGGUUGAAAAAUAUUGUGAGAAGUUAAUCUUUAAUGGAAAAUGACUAAAAUAAUUUUGGUGAAUGUACAUGUGUGUAUCAAAGCAAACCUUGUUUCUCUUAUUUACCAGGGAAUGACAGAAUAAGAGUUUCUGAUUAACAGCAGUAACUUCAUAAUAUUCAUGAUAAACUCUUCCACCAGGCAGAACUUAGUCCAAAAGGUAUCUUUGACUUUUCCUCACCACGGUUGUGUGUGGGUACAUUUGGAUGUCUGUUGCUCCCAUUUACACGAGUUGCCUCCGCUUUUCUUUCAAAAGCCAGGCAGAACAAUGCCUAUUUCAGCCCUCCUGCUUUCAUGUGCCUGUGCUGGACACUGCCACGUAGCUGUCUCUUUCCCUGUGCUCUCCACUGCAUCUUCCAUGUAAUGCACAGACUGCACAGUCUGUGAAGGAAGUGCAGUUUUUGGACUGUUUUGUCAACCAACUCAAGAAGUGAUCUGAGUGUGCUGAGAUGCAGUGACAGCUGUGCAAUAGUUUUAAGAAUGAAUGAAAAACACUGGUUUAUAACCAUCUUUAAAACUAGAGCUGGAAAGCCUGCACACGGAACUAGGGGAAUAAUGUUGAGUCUUUAUCCUGGAACAUACCUGCUGUGUCCCAGGAGUUAUUAGCCUGCAUGGUGAAUCACUUCAACUCAUUGGGCCAAGAGAAAACUUCCUUUUCUACAUUAUGUUGGCACGGCUUCCUGUUGGCUCACCUUGCUGGCUGACUCAUCGUGGAGAUGUGUGAUUACUGGAACUGGUGCCUAGGAAGAACUGUGAGUGCGCAGCUGGGGCAAUGGCCAUGGUGCGCUCAGCCUGUUACCCUUCCUGCACCUGCUGCAGUUCCAAGUGAUAGGACUUAACCCUGACCAAUUCCCUUAAUCUGGAAGGAAGGAGCAUU
Long non-coding RNA from Centrocercus urophasianus (Greater sage-grouse), 8830 nucleotides. RefSeq lists it as uncharacterized. The transcript has 3 exons. Lineage: Eukaryota; Metazoa; Chordata; Aves; Galliformes; Phasianidae. The record is from RefSeq and is a predicted model, not a curated record.